This 465-nucleotide ribosomal RNA is filed under the name uncultured bacterium. RNAcentral describes it as "partial 16S ribosomal RNA". It matches the Rfam family "Bacterial small subunit ribosomal RNA", at positions 28 to 507 of the family's 1533-position model. The record is from RNAcentral.
GACGAACGCUGGCGGCGUGCUUAACACAUGCAAGUCGAACGGAAAGGCCCUGCUUGCAGGGUACUCGAGUGGCGAACGGGUGAGUAACACGUGGGUGAUCUGCCCUGCACUUCGGGAUAAGCCUUGGAAACUGUGUCUAAUACCGGAUAGGAGCCAUUCUUAGGGUGAGGGUUGGAAAGUUUUUUUGGUGUAGGAUGAGCUCGCGGCCUAUCAGCGUGUUGGUGGGGUAAUGGCCUACCAAGGCGGCCAUGGGCAGGCGGCCAGAGAGGGUGGACGGCCAGACUGGGUCUGGGAUACGGCCCAGACUCCUUCGGGAAGCAGCGGUGGGGAAGAUUGCACAAUGGGCGGGAGCCUGGAGCAGCCACGCCGCGUGGGGGAUGAAGGCCUUCGGGUUGUAAACUCCUUUCGCAAGGGACGAAGCUUUUUGUGACGGUACCUAGAGAAGAAGCACCGGCUAACUACGUG